Molecule: unclassified non-coding RNA, 400 nt
Filed under: soil metagenome
Description: partial contains 5.8S ribosomal RNA, internal transcribed spacer 2, and large subunit ribosomal RNA
Rfam family: 5.8S ribosomal RNA (bases 1-122)
Source: RNAcentral
GAUGAAGAACGUAGCGAAAUGCGAUACUUGGUGUGAAUUGCAGAAUCCCGUGAACCAUCGAGUCUUUGAACGCAAGUUGCGCCUCAAGCCAUUAGGUUGAGGGCACGUCUGCCUGGGCGUCACAUAUCGUUGCCUGAUGCCAGUUUCCUCGUGAUGGGUGACUGUGCAGGGCGAAUGAUGGCUUCCCGUGAGCAUUGUUGCCUCAUGGUUGGUUGAAAAUUGAGUCCUUGGUAGGGAGCGCCGUGAUAGAUGGUGGUUGAGUGACGAACGAGACCCAAUCAUGUGAGAUCCCUACCGAAUUUGGCCUUCAUGACCCACAUGCGUCUUUGGAACGCUCAUGACGAGACCUCAGGUCAGGCGGGGCUACCCGCUGAGUUUAAGCAUAUCAAUAAGCGGAGGA